CUCCUUCGCAGUUUCGUUCGUUGCAGUCAUGUUUGUCUUCCUAGCGUUAGUAAUGCAAGGGGAAGAAUGGUCAUGUGUUUUUGCAGCUCCAUAUCUUUACAAGCAUAGUAAAAGCCGUGUAAACGGAGGCCCCACACCUUUUCCUCCAGUGACUCGGCCAACACCAACAAGGAGGCCUCCAGGUCCAAACCCUAGGCCAUUUGGUGGACGCUAAAGCAAAAUGACAAACGAACGCCGCUUUCGCUGGAUCUGGAAACCAGCAGCCAUCCUGCGCUUCAACGCCAUCAGGGAUUCUGAUGUGAAUUGCCGCACACAAGGAUAAAUCUCCUAAAUAAAAAAUGGCAAUGCGCCUUGCAUCUCUGCGCCUA
Molecule: long non-coding RNA, 368 nt
Organism: Dermacentor andersoni
Lineage: Eukaryota; Metazoa; Arthropoda; Arachnida; Ixodida; Ixodidae
Source: RefSeq, a predicted model, not a curated record